This is a long non-coding RNA of Taeniopygia guttata (zebra finch), 4358 nucleotides long. The record is from Ensembl. NCBI's taxonomy places the organism in Eukaryota, Metazoa, Chordata, Aves, Passeriformes, Estrildidae.
UUUUUUUUUUUUUUUUUUUUUUUUUUGGCAGUAUGGCAUUUACAGAAUACACAUAAAGAUCUUCAGAUCUUACUGGAUAGGAUAAAUAGUUCAUAUUUUGAGAGGAAGAGUUGACAAAGUAGGAAGAAAGAGGCCAAGUAGGAAGAAAGGCUAAGCUUGGAGAUUUAUUUCUUGAUCUCAGGAAAUAAUUAUCUCCUUGUAUAAUUUUCUGGCAUAAAUAGAAAACAUUAUGUAGUGUUUUGAACACUGCAUUUUAUUUUGGAUGCUGAAAAUGAGGCAGAGAUUGACAACAUUAGGGAGAAGCUCAUUGAUGAACAAUAAAAAUGGCUAAGAAGAGAGAGAGAAAUUAAAAAGAAAGUCAUUCCCUAUAAUUUAAUCAAGUGAUAAUUUCAGGAGAGGAUUAAAGGCUUACACAAGCCCUAAAGAUGGAAACACGAGCAAUGCAAUGAUUUAGAGUAUUAAAGGACAGCAAGCAGAUGGUCAUAAGAGAAUGCACUGACAUGAAAUUAAUGAAAAUACCACUUCAGAGUAACCUGUGAGAGCAGGAUUUUCUAGGCAGUGGAAUAAUGUCCAGAAAAGGUAACACAAAUGUCACCAUUCACAGCAUUUAAAGCCAGACUGGACAAAAGAAAGAGUCAGUGGACAGGAAAGGAAAGGUCACUGGGGCUAUUAGGACUGGAUCAUUUUCGCUUGGGUCUACCAUUACUGUUUAAAAAAAAAAAAAAAUACAGAAUAUUUCAACAGUGUAUUUCAACAGAAAGACCUCCCUACUGCGUCUUCAUUCAUGCAGUAGAUUUUGGGGGUGUCAUGGUAAGGAAGGAGACUAAUCUGUAGCCCCAAGAUGUGAGCAAGAAUCCCUUUUCUGACUUUGGUGGAAUUAGGGAAAACCCAAAGAAAAUUGCCUCAUGAGACAGAAAACCUCCUAAGGCAGAUGGCAGCUUUUGUGUUAUGUCUAACCUUGUCACAGACAAGAAGAAUUUGCUACUGAUACAUCAGGAGCUGAGUAGAGCAAAUGUGACAGAAGAAGGCAGGUGAAUUUUCUUCUCUGCUUUUGCUGAAUCAUUUCUUUUCUGUGAUCCACAUUUUCUGGGAUGCCAAAACGAUCAGCAAAUUCAAGCUGAACUUGCUGAAUAACUUCACAUGAAAUAAGACAAAGGGGAAAGAGGCCGUGUCAGUAGGGGGAAGAGUGGUACACUUCCUGUUUUUACUGGUAAGCUCAUCUCCUAAACAGGAUGGUAAGGGAAGCCUGGAGGCACUGAAGUGCUACAGCAGGAGCAGCCAGCCACCCUCCUUCCCCAAACGCAUCCCCUUGGCACCCACAGCAUCAGCCUCGGCUUUGAGCCCACAUUGCUUCCAUUCCCAAAGCUUCUGAGCUUAGUCACCAGACUGAGCUACCCUGAACUAGGCUACUGCUGGUCUUCCUGGCUGAGGCUGUCCCUGUCCCACUUUGCACUGACAUGCAGAGGAGGAGAGAAAUAAACUUCUUUGUCACUUGGACCUCAUGUGACAAAGUUCUCAGCAGCAAUGAGAACAUUAAGUAUUGUUGCUUUCUCACAGCUGGCUCUUGCACUUGCACCAUCACACUGUGAACCAGGGCAGGGAAGCAGAGACAUGGCUUAAAAAUAAUUUGCCAGAAGAUAAGCUGUGCUUUAAAAACCCCAUAGAUUUUUCAAUGUGCUUCUUAACCCAGAUGCCCAGAGACCUGUGCCAUCACAAGCAGGAACGGGGGAAAAAAAGAUGACAGAAGAUAAAGAAAAGACUCUACCAAAGAUAUGGGGGAAGGGGUAUUGCUGUUUCUCCACUCAGAAAAAGAAGUUUAACCAUGGCAAUUAUAAAGCAAAGUUAUAGGAACCCAGGAAACGUGAUGACAGGAAAGUGUAUGGUCCAGCAGACAGGUGUAAAAAGAGAAGACAUUGUCCCCUUACACCAAGAGCCCUGAUGUUGUGGGCUGGUGCUGGAAAAGAAUGAUAAACAUCACAAGCAAUUAGGUAUUACACAUUUAUAUUCCUCUUACAGCUGAGCAAAUGGUCUGGUCUCCUUUCAGCUUCUGCAGCUUCUACCAAAAUUCAGUGUGAGCCCCCCAGUGCAAGUAAAGUGCUUUUUAGGAAGAGUGACAAAGAAAAUUAGUAUUUCCUGAGGAAAAGCCCAGUCCCUGCUGCUUUGUGUUAUAUUUUUAUAUAUGCAGGCUCACGUGCAUAGUCCUCAUCUCCUGACCUGCAGUAAAGACUGAAUUAAAAGUCAUGGCUGGCAGUCAGAGGUGGCAGCCCUUCAGAGACAGGCCAAGCCAAAUUGUAUUAAACCAGAGCACAGAGCACCCUGAGCCUGACCUGUCAAGUGUUAUCACACUCAUCUUCCUGCAGAAAGGCCGGGCUUCAUAACUCACAUCAGGUGGUGGCUCUCAGGUCCUGUACAUCUAUGCCCUGAGCAAGUGAGCUGGUUUCGUUUUUGUCACAGGUCUUUUGUUUUUUUGGCAAGAACUGCUGGAGUUAAAUGCUGUUAGCACAUCAGCAGGCUUGUCACUCCCUCCCUGUCACAUCAAUCAGAGUCUCUGUGGACCCAGGCUGCCUUGCCAUGCAUCACAAGAACAGCAAAUUCCUUCCCCUUUCAUGGCUCAUCCCCGUUGUGAAUGAGUUGUUCUCCUACAACUGCAGGAAGGCAGGGGACAGGAGCCACUGAGCCCCACCAUGCACAGGAGCAGCUCGAGGUGUUGCAGGACAAGGGGGUUAGUGAAGCCACAUCUUUCAUUAUGUCUGGCUUUGCAAUCAAGGCUGAUUCCAGACAGUAUAGUUAAUCUAUGCUCCCUGGAUCUCAGCUGGAAGAAAAUGGAUUAGCUUUGCUCACUUGACUGAAGCCAUGGCAAUUUACCCUUGCUGAGCAUCUGACUCUUAUCCUGGCCAUCAGUUACAUCAUGUGUUUCAGCAUAUAGCACAAAAGCAUCAUUUUUCAAGCUGACCAGGCAUCAAACAUGGCUCUUUGGAUGGAGAGAGGCAGAGAGAUGAAUCCAGGAAGUAGCAUUUCAAUGUGCUGUGAGAUAAAGGGAGAAAAGAAAACCCUGUGUAACCUCAUGUGUAAAACAUCCCCCAUCUCCCACCCCAGCACCAGCAGCUGAGGCACCUUUCCAACCAGCACAGCAGGCAGCUCCCACAGUGAGGGCAAGCCAGCAUAGAUCCUGGCUGUGGCAGAGAGAUGAUAAACAGUACUGCAGGGCACACUGCAGGGAACAUGGGAGGCUGUAAAUUAAGGUCUUCCUAAUUAGAAAGCAGUCAGAAGCACACAAGCACACACAGAUUGCUGGUCUGGGGUAAGCUGCUCUUCUACAGGUUACAGUAAUGCUAAAAGGCAAAGCAUCACAAAGGAGAUGGCAAAGGACAGAGCAGUGGAUGAAGCAGCAGGUGCUUGCACAGCACUGCCAGCUGCAGAAAGCCAUGAGUAAGGGCCAAAGAAGAGGCCAGAGUCGGAAAAUGACAGAAAUAUAUCAACAAAUGUUCUUGCAAUUACAGGAGCAAUUCUGAACUGUGAUAAAGAUUAUUAGGAAAUGAGGGAAGGUGUCAGGAUAUGAAGCAAAGUGUUAGCAUAUUGUGCCUAGAAAGUCCACAUGUCUGGGGCUCUGUGAAAAAUAAGUGUGCAAUUGUCAGGUAAGAAAGAAGAAAGUUUUCAGUGUGGUAAAUCCCUCCAGCAAAAGAACAAAGGAGUGGAAUUAUGGAGAUCCGGUGGUUCCUAGCUGGAGGUGCAGUGCUAAACCAAACUCAACACCCUAGUGAGGACAGGGAGGAGGGAUGCACACACCUUUUUGGUAUUAAAAAAAAAGGCAGCCUUAGCUGCAAAGGUGAAGAUGUUUUCUGUGAUGUGCAGGUACUAAAUGUUCUAGUGGAGAAAGAAGAGUGUCCUCCCCAGACACCCUUCUUGGGAAUGCUGUGAAUGGCUGUGAUGCUGCGCCCUCUCCACAUCACACCUCACAUUCAGCCCUUGUGAGGACUCAGAUGCAAACAGAAGAGAGCAAAGCAAAAUCUCUCAGGGGAAAUGGCAGGGAUCCCGUGAAAAACUGGCUUGGAUAAAGUAUUCAAAACUGCUCGAUAGCAAAAGACCAAAUAGGACCUAAUAUUCUCCUAAUGAGGCAAUUUAACUGCCUCUUAUUCUAUGUCCUUUGCAUUGUGCUCUCCCAGCAUAGAAGUUCAAAGGGUUGUCACAACAGGCCCUCAAAGGAUGGGUUUUUUAAUGAGUGGGAUUUCUUAGGGAGUCAGUAUGGGGCAGAUUUGCUGAGGAGAAGAGGAGAAAGGAAAACGUAGGAUACACUGCAAAAUUGGUCAUCAAGCUGGGUAAUUCACUGUGCUGUAUUGCUGUCUACUGUAAAACAGCAC